AUAAAAGAAGUUGUGCAGAAUCUGGAGUAGCAAAGAAUGCAAAUCCAGCCCUUCCUCUUCACAACUUCAGAGAGCACACUCCUGGGAGAUGCCUACUUGCCCUUUAACUGCAGCUCUGUAUAAACAAAAUCAAGGCCAUCUCACUCAAUGUUACUGACCAGUGGCAGCAAAGAACUAUAGAACAAACAGUGGUGAGAUGAUAGAAGUCAUGCAAGACCCCAGCAGAAAGAUUCCAGCAAACGUGAGACAAUUAACAUCACAAUAUGCAGCCACUUCUCUACAUCUUGACUUGUCUGAAAUAAAAUUUCAUCAACGUUCAAAAAUGCUUUUCUGCAAACUGUCCUGAACAAAAUAGAGGGACAAGUUUUGUUCAUGCUCUGGAUCCUGAAGUCACAUCCAACUCUCACAAAAUGAAUGAUAUUUUCUCUCUCAAAUCAAGCUUAAACAGUGAUUAUGAAGUUUUGAGGUGACUUGUGCUGCCCACAAUACUUGCAGGUAACUUUCAGACAUGUCUUUCUUCUGAAAAGAAAUUAAGGUAAAUCUACCUUACUUCUAUUGAGUUCAUAUCACUUUUCCGUAUAUUUUUUGUUCCUCUUAAGUAGCUUCUGAGGCUGAACUGUGGAUAAACUACACUGAUUACAGCUUCAGUAAUGUCUCAGUACACCCCUAUCAGUCAAACACCUUUUGCUUCUUCUUUUGUUGGGUUAUCACUAUGUUAUUUUAAAAUAUUAGAUAGAUAGAUUAGAUAGAUAGAUAGAUGAUAGAUAGAUAGAUAGAUAGAUAUUUUUCCAGUUUAUUAAUGACAGAUGUUUCACAAGGAUUUGAAUUUUAACUUCCUUCAUGCUUUCAUAAGACUAUGUUUCCAGAUGGAUGUUUCUGAAUUGUAUCUACUUUACAUACUACAGUUUGCUUCUCUUUAGUUUACAUGCCAAGAUGCACAAUUUAGACUUCUGAAUCCAGCAAUAUAAAUAUAUAAAUGAUCAUUUCCCUGAGGUUUGCUUAACAUUGCUUAACAUACCUUAAUAAGCUAAGUGAUUUUUUUUUUUAUUAUUUUUUUAUUUUUUUACCACCAAGUAUUCUUACGUGGUUAAAUGCAAUGGCCUGCAGAGAGAUUUUAGCUUUAAAAAUAAUAUUCCUAGUACCGGAAGUAUAUUGCUCUCACAUUUUUGCACAGCUCUAACUAAACAAGUUAGCUUUGCUUCUGAAGUAUUUUCUCUACAAAAUACAGUGGAUAGGACCAAAGAUUUUUGAUGGAGUUGAAUUGUUUCUGGUAGAUGCACAUAUAAAAUCAAAGACUCUUCAAAGUGCAGAUAUUCUGGUUAAGAAAAGUGCAAUUAAAAUGAGUUGAUCGGUUAAUCUCCUCCUUUCUAACAGAUUAAAAUCUCCUUUUCUAACAGAUAAAAAUCAAUCAAUUCCUUUCUCUCACAUCAUUUAUAAUUUAGCAUAAUACAUAUGCAUUUUUUCUUUCCCUAUAUAAUUUUAAUGCUUUGUUUUGCUUAUAUUCUACAGUCCCACAAAUUGUACUUUCUCAUACUUAGAGUAAAUUUUGCUCUUGCCAUGGAUUGGGAAAAAUCUGUAGUAAUUACAUAUGUAAAAAUUGAGAAAUAAACAUUGUUAUACAUGUUUUCAGUGUUUGGAUGAAAUCUUGACCCCUAUAGAACUAAAUCUUGUCCCAUAUAGAACUAAAUGAGAUACUUAACUUUGACUUUUAUGAGGAUAGAAGGGACCUUUAUUUGACUACCAUGGUAAAUUUAUAAAAAAGAAAAACAAAACAAAAUAAAACAAAACUAGAAAAUCUCUUACUUCUCAUUUUGAUUAAAGAUGUGCAAUU
Long non-coding RNA from Cygnus atratus (black swan), 1831 nucleotides. RefSeq lists it as uncharacterized. The record is from RefSeq and is a predicted model, not a curated record. The transcript has 4 exons. NCBI's taxonomy places the organism in Eukaryota, Metazoa, Chordata, Aves, Anseriformes, Anatidae.